CAAGAAUUGCGAAAGGCUCCUAAACCAUUCGUGAACGUUAUCCUAACCGUUGCUUCGCGGCGCGGCUCCCUCACGGGGUUCCCCGCAGCCCCCUGGCCUCUCAGGCGGUAAGGGCAGCCGCCGGAGGUCACGAAACUCUUGAUAUUAUAGUGGUCUCUCUGAGUCUUAAACUGAAUAAGUCA
RNAcentral lists this unclassified non-coding RNA (182 nucleotides) under soil metagenome. Its description in RNAcentral is "partial internal transcribed spacer 1". The record is from RNAcentral.